RNAcentral lists this ribosomal RNA (400 nucleotides) under uncultured bacterium. Its description in RNAcentral is "bacterial SSU rRNA". It matches the Rfam family "Bacterial small subunit ribosomal RNA", at positions 354 to 771 of the family's 1533-position model. The record is from RNAcentral.
GUGGGGAAUAUUGGACAAUGGGGGAAACCCUGAUCCAGCAAUGCCGCGUGAGUGAUGAAGGCCUUAGGGUUGUAAAGCUCUUUCGGCGGGGAAGAUGAUGACGGUACCCGCAGAAGAAGCCCCGGCUAACUUCGUGCCAGCAGCCGCGGUAAUACGAAGGGGGCUAGCGUUGUUCGGAAUUACUGGGCGUAAAGGGCGCGUAGGCGGCGCAUUAAGUCAGGUGUGAAAGCCCUGGGCUCAACCCAGGAAUAGCACUUGAUACUGAUGCGCUUGAAUUCGGGAGAGGAUGACGGAAUUCCCAGUGUAGAGGUGAAAUUCAUUGAUAUUGGGAAGAACACCAGUGGCGAAGGCGGUCAUCUGGCCCGUAAUUGACGCUGAGGCGCGAAAGCGUGGGGAGCAA